This 300-nucleotide ribosomal RNA is filed under the name uncultured soil bacterium. RNAcentral's name for it is "bacterial SSU rRNA". It matches the Rfam family "Bacterial small subunit ribosomal RNA", at positions 1074 to 1365 of the family's 1533-position model. The record is from RNAcentral.
GUUGGGUUAAGUCCCGCAACGAGCGCAACCCCCGUCGCAUGUUGCCAGCAUUUAGUUGGGGACUCAUGCGAGACCGCCGGUGACAAACCGGAGGAAGGUGGGGAUGACGUCAAGUCAUCAUGCCCCUUAUGUCCAGGGCUACACACAUGCUACAUUGGCGCGUACAGAGGGUUGCGAUACCGCGAGGUGGAGCGAAUCCCUUCAAGCGCGUUUCGAUUCGGAUUGCCGGCUGACAACUGCCUGCCUGAAGGCGGAAUUGGUUAUUAUCGCGGAUCCGCAAUGCCGCGUGAUAUCUCAGCG